Betta splendens (Siamese fighting fish) is the source of this 109-nucleotide ribosomal RNA. The record is from Ensembl. Lineage: Eukaryota; Metazoa; Chordata; Actinopteri; Anabantiformes; Osphronemidae.
GCUUACGGCCAUACCACCCUGAGCACGUCUAAUCUCGGAAGCUAAGCAGGGUCGGGCCUGGUUAGUACUUGGAUGGGAGACCGCCUGGGAAUACCAGGUGCUGUAAGCU